This 24-nucleotide non-coding RNA is filed under the name Mus musculus (house mouse). The record is from RNAcentral. Lineage: Eukaryota; Metazoa; Chordata; Mammalia; Rodentia; Muridae.
UACGUACCACCACACCUGGCUCUG